AAAUAUUAUUUCAUAAACGUAUGAAGGAUGAUGGAUAUAUUUUAUUUCAAGGUACUACGGAAGAAGUUAAACUUCUUUUCGAAAUAGCAAACACAAACCACAACCUACUGCAAUUUACUUAUGAAAUUGACAGACAAAGUUUGAAAUUUCUAGACUUAGAAACGUAUAAAGGACAGAGAUUUCAAAAAGAAAAUAUCUUAGAUAUUAGAUGUUUCACAAAACCAACUGAAAAAUUCCAAUAUCUACACCAAAAUUCUAACCACGC
Molecule: long non-coding RNA, 265 nt
Filed under: Mytilus galloprovincialis (Mediterranean mussel)
Lineage: Eukaryota; Metazoa; Mollusca; Bivalvia; Mytilida; Mytilidae
Source: RNAcentral